RNAcentral lists this ribosomal RNA (460 nucleotides) under uncultured bacterium. RNAcentral describes it as "partial 16S ribosomal RNA". It matches the Rfam family "Bacterial small subunit ribosomal RNA", at positions 338 to 795 of the family's 1533-position model. The record is from RNAcentral.
CCUACGGGAGGCAGCAGUGAGGAAUAUUGGUCAAUGGGCUUACGCCUGAACCAGCCAAGUCGCGUGAGGGAAGACUGCCCUAUGGGUUGUAAACCUCUUUUGUCAGGGAGCAACGCCGGCUACGUGUAGCCGGACUGAGAGUACCUGAAGAAAAAGCAUCGGCUAACUCCGUGCCAGCAGCCGCGGUAAUACGGAGGAUGCGAGCGUUAUCCGGAUUUAUUGGGUUUAAGGGGUGCGUAGGCGGAAUGCCAAGUCAGCGGGAAAAUCGCGGGGCGCAAUCUCGCUCCGCCGUUGAAACUGGCGUUCUUGAGUGGGCGAGAAGUAUGCGGAAUGCGUGGUGUAGCGGUGAAAUGCAUAGAUAUCACGCAGAACUCCGAUUGCGAAGGCAGCAUACCGGCGCCCAACUGACGCUGAAGCACGAAAGUGUGGGUAUCGAACAGGAUUAGAUACCCUUGUAGUC